CACGGAUAACAUACCGAAAGGUAUGCUAAUACGGGAUAAUAUAUUUGAGAGGCAUCUCUUAAAUAUCAAAGGUGAGCCAGUACAGGAUGGACCCGCGUCUGAUUAGCUAGUUGGUAAGGUAACGGCUUACCAAGGCGACGAUCAGUAGCCGACCUGAGAGGGUGAUCGGCCACAUUGGAACUGAGACACGGUCCAAACUCCUACGGGAGGCAGCAGUGGGGAAUAUUGCACAAUGGGCGAAAGCCUGAUGCAGCAACGCCGCGUGAGUGAUGAAGGCCUUCGGGUCGUAAAACUCUGUCCUCAAGGAAGAUAAUGACGGUACUUGAGGAGGAAGCCCCGGCUAACUACGUGCCAGCAGCCGCGGUAAUACGUAGGGGGCUAGCGUUAUCCGGAUUUACUGGGCGUAAAGGGUGCGUAGGCGGUCUUUCAAGUCAGGAGUGAAAGGCUACGGCUCAACCGUAGUAAGCUCUUGAAACUGGGAGACUUGAGUGCAGGAGAGGAGAGUGGAAUUCCUAGUGUAGCGGUGAAAUGCGUAGAUAUUAGGAGGAACACCAGUUGCGAAGGCGGCUCUCUGGACUGUAACUGACGCUGAGGCACGAAAGCGCGGGGAGCAAACAGGAUUAGAUACCCUGGUAGUCCACGCUGUAAACGAUGAGUACUAGGUGUCGGGGGUUACCCCCUUCGGUGCCGCAGCUAACG
RNAcentral lists this ribosomal RNA (699 nucleotides) under uncultured bacterium. Its description in RNAcentral is "bacterial SSU rRNA". It matches the Rfam family "Bacterial small subunit ribosomal RNA", at positions 138 to 857 of the family's 1533-position model. The record is from RNAcentral.